GUGCUCCUUUCGGCAGCAUGUAUACUAAAAUUGGAACAAUACAGAGAAGAUUGGCAUGGCCCCUGUGAAAUGAUGACAAAUUCAUGCAGCGUUCCAUAUUUUU
Molecule: small nuclear RNA, 103 nt
Organism: Nannospalax galili (Upper Galilee mountains blind mole rat)
Lineage: Eukaryota; Metazoa; Chordata; Mammalia; Rodentia; Spalacidae
Source: Ensembl